RNAcentral lists this small nuclear RNA (173 nucleotides) under Heterocephalus glaber (naked mole-rat). Its description in RNAcentral is "7SK RNA". It matches the Rfam family "7SK RNA", at positions 1 to 192 of the family's 331-position model. From Rfam's summary of the family: 7SK was discovered as an abundant small nuclear RNA in the mid-70s but a possible function has only recently been suggested. Lineage: Eukaryota; Metazoa; Chordata; Mammalia; Rodentia; Bathyergidae. The record is from Rfam by way of RNAcentral.
GCAUGUGAGGUCUCUGGCUACAGCUGUCCCCUGCUGAGCGCCAACAGUACUUGUGCUGACCUGGCUGGCAUGGUGGGUGUCCCCUUUCUCACCACUCCAGUGCUGCCCACCUGAAGCUGGGUUGCAGAAGACGACCUUCCUCAACACAGGGCUGUUUCAGUCAGGCAUGUGCA